ACCAACCACUUCUUGCUCAACAUGCAAUAUCUGGCAGUUCCUGGGAAUACCAUCAAUAGCGUGCAUAGCCAUAUGCCUCAGGAGAGUUGUUUUCCCUGUACCGUUUCUUCCAAUAAGACCGUAGUGUCUUCCAAAAGAAAGCGUGACAGAACCAUCGACAAUAAGUUCACGACCACCGACAGAUAUAUUGAAGUUCUCCAUACGGAUAUCCUUAACAGUUGGUCCAUCACCCUGACCAUCAUGAUUCACACACACUAAAGGCAUACCAGCUUUCACUUCCUCCACUUCUUUCAAGUGUUCUUGGUAUUCUGCCUCUCUCAGGCGUUCCUCUUUCCUCUUCCUUCUUUCAAUCUUAAUCUUGUCACGUUCUGUGAGCAAAGGACCAUCAACUGGUUCUGGCUUUUUAUUCUUUGGAGCUUCCUCUUCAUCCAUUCCAUCAAACAUUCUCAGCGGCAUUUUUAAGCUUCUCACCGUCGGUUGGGGUUUAGCCAAUUCAUGCUUCUCUAACUUCUCAGACAACUUGCUACAAACCGCACGACAUUCGGAGAAGUCAGUAACACAACCGGAAUCGACAAGUAGCUCUCCAAGGGCUUCAAAAGCACCUUCACCGUCGUGACCAAAAUCGAAAUCUUCAUCGGCGACGACAUUGAUAAUAUAGUCGAUAAUAGGCUGAUCUACAUCUUGAGCUCGUCUGCCUAGGAUUUCGUGUACAACGUUGCUCGCGACUUCAGUCAUCUUCGUUCUCCACUUUCCGCCUUCUGCCGGUGAUGGAGAAGAUGAACCGGAAUGAAAGGGAAAAUGGGUUGUGGACCGGGUUGCGGGUACAGUGUGAGGCGGCUCUGUGAGAGAAUCCUGGCGAAACCUCAA
Molecule: unclassified non-coding RNA, 867 nt
Filed under: Hevea brasiliensis (rubber tree)
Lineage: Eukaryota; Viridiplantae; Streptophyta; Magnoliopsida; Malpighiales; Euphorbiaceae
Source: RNAcentral